Small nucleolar RNA from Vombatus ursinus (common wombat), 243 nucleotides. The record is from Ensembl. NCBI's taxonomy places the organism in Eukaryota, Metazoa, Chordata, Mammalia, Diprotodontia, Vombatidae.
GUGAAAUGAUGAUGACGUUCAUCCAUUCUCCAAACAUGCUGCCUGUCUGCCUGGCGCUUUGGGACUCUCGUUCUGGGGGCUCUGAGCUAUGCAGCCACCACACACCCUGAAGUCUUCCAGCAUUCUGUUGGGGACAGUGGGUGGGUGUGGGCCUGCGGUCAGGAAUGAGACAGGGGCAGCCAAGAUGGUGCCCUUUUGUUUGGGGUCCCAUCGGGCUGAGAUGAAGGCUGAUAGUCUGAUCGC